Molecule: transfer RNA, 84 nt
Filed under: Trametes coccinea BRFM310
Lineage: Eukaryota; Fungi; Basidiomycota; Agaricomycetes; Polyporales; Polyporaceae
Description: Trametes coccinea (strain BRFM310) tRNA
Rfam family: tRNA
About the family: Transfer RNA (tRNA) molecules are approximately 80 nucleotides in length.
Source: Rfam by way of RNAcentral
GUCCUUGUCGAUUAGUGGUUAGAUCAUCACGUUGUGGUUCUCCGCAGUACCGUGAAGACGGAGGCUCGAAUCCUCCCUGGGACA